RNAcentral lists this ribosomal RNA (499 nucleotides) under uncultured bacterium. Its description in RNAcentral is "partial 16S ribosomal RNA". It matches the Rfam family "Bacterial small subunit ribosomal RNA", at positions 30 to 523 of the family's 1533-position model. The record is from RNAcentral.
AUUGAACGCUGGCGGCGUGCUUAACACAUGCAAGUCGAUCGGUAACGCGGGGCAACCUGGCGACGAGAGGCGGACGGGUGAGUAACGCUUGGGAAUCUGCCUAUUAGUAGGGGACAACCCGGGGAAACUCGGGCUAAUACCGCAUGCGCUCCACGGAGGAAAGCAGGGGAUCGCAAGACCUUGCGCUAGUAGAUGAGCCCAAGUCGGAUUAGCUAGUUGGUAGGGUAACGGCCUACCAAGGCGACGAUCCGUAGCAGGUCUGAGAGAACGACCAGCCACACUGGGACUGAGACACGGCCCAGACUCCUACGGGAGGCAGCAGUGGGGAAUAUUGGACAAUGGGGGGAACCCUGAUCCAGCCAUGCCGCGUGUGUGAAGAAGGCCUUAUGGUUGUAAAGCACUUUAAGCGAGGAGGAGGCUCUUUUGGUUAAUACCCAAGAUGAGUGGACGUUACUCGCAGAAUAAGCACCGGCUAACUCUGUGCCAGCCGCCGCCGUAA